GUUGUAUGGUUAAGUGACUAAGCGUACACGGUGGAUGCCUUGGCAGUCAGAGGCGAUGAAGGACGUAUUAACUUGCGAUAAGCCCAGAUUAGACAGUAAAAGUCAUUUGAGUCUGGGAUUUCCGAAUGGGGAAACCCACCUGCAUAAGCAGGUAUCAUUACCUGAAUACAUAGGGUAAUGAGGCGAACCGGGGGAACUGAAACAUCUAAGUACCCCGAGGAAAAGAAAUCAACCGAGAUUCCGAAAGUAGCGGCGAGCGAAAUUGGAUUAGCCCUUAAGCCUUUAAUGCGUCAGGUGAAAGUUCUGGAAAGUUCUGCGAUACAGGGUGAUAGCCCCGUAACCGACAGCGCAUUUUAGGUGAAAUCGAGUAGGGCGGGACACGUGAUAUCCUGUCUGAAUAUGGGGGGACCAUCCUCCAAGGCUAAAUACUACUGACUGACCGAUAGUGAACCAGUACCGUGAGGGAAAGGCGAAAAGAACCCCUGUGAGGGGAGUGAAAUAGAACCUGAAACCGUGUACGUACAAGCAGUAGGAGCACCUUCGUGGUGUGACUGCGUACCUUUUGUAUAAUGGGUCAGCGACUUAUAUUCAGUAGCAAGGUUAACCAUCUAGGGGAGCCGUAGAGAAAUCGAGUCUUAACUGGGCGUCGAGUUGCUGGAUAUAGACCCGAAACCAGGUGAUCUAGCCAUGGGCAGGUUGAAGGUUGAGUAACAUCAACUGGAGGACCGAACCGACUAAUGUUGAAAAAUUAGCGGAUGACUUGUGGCUAGGGGUGAAAGGCCAAUCAAACCUGGAGAUAGCUGGUUCUCCCCGAAAUCUAUUUAGGUAGAGCCUCGGACGAAUACUACUGGGGGUAGAGCACUGUUAAGGCUAGGGGGUCAUCCCGACUUACCAACCCUUUGCAAACUCCGAAUACCAGUAAGUACUAUCCGGGAGACACACGGCGGGUGCUAACGUCCGUCGUGGAGAGGGAAACAACCCAGACCGCCAGCUAAGGUCCCAAAUUACAGCUAAGUGGGAAACGAUGUGGGAAGGCUUAGACAGCUAGGAUGUUGGCUUAGAAGCAGCCAUCAUUUAAAGAAAGCGUAAUAGCUCACUAGUCGAGUCGGCCUGCGCGGAAGAUGUAACGGGGCUAAGCUGUAAACCGAAGCUGCGGCAAUGCCAUUUAUGGUAUUGGGUAGGGGAGCGUUCUGUAAGCCGUUGAAGGUGAGUUGUAAAGCUUGCUGGAGGUAUCAGAAGUGCGAAUGCUGACAUGAGUAACGAUAAAGGGGGUGAAAAACCUCCUCGCCGGAAGACCAAGGGUUCCUGUCCAACGUUAAUCGGGGCAGGGUAAGUCGACCCCUAAGGCGAGGCCGAAAGGCGUAGUCGAUGGGAAACGGGUUAAUAUUCCCGUACUUCUUACAAUUGCGAUGGGGGGACGGAGAAGGCUAGGUGGGCCUGGCGACGGUUGUCCAGGUUCAAGUGCGUAGGCUUGAGAGUUAGGUAAAUCCGGCUCUCUUUAAGGCUGAGACACGACGUCGAGCUGCUACGGCAGUGAAGUCAUUGAUGCCAUGCUUCCAGGAAAAGCCUCUAAGCUUCAGAUUGUAAGGAAUCGUACCCCAAACCGACACAGGUGGUCGGGUAGAGAAUACCAAGGCGCUUGAGAGAACUCGGGUGAAGGAACUAGGCAAAAUGGUACCGUAACUUCGGGAGAAGGUACGCUCCUGUCGGUGAAGUCCCUUGCGGAUGGAGCUAACGGGAGUCGCAGAUACCAGGUGGCUGCAACUGUUUAUUAAAAACACAGCACUGUGCAAAAUCGUAAGAUGACGUAUACGGUGUGACGCCUGCCCGGUGCCGGAAGGUUAAUUGAUGGGGUUAGACGUAAGGAGCCGUCCUUGAAAUACCACCCUUGUAGUGUUGAUGUUCUAACUUAGACCCGUUAUCCGGGUUGAGGACAGUGCCUGGUGGGUAGUUUGACUGGGGCGGUCUCCUCCCAAAGAGUAACGGAGGAGCACGAAGGUGGGCUAAUCACGGUUGGACAUCGUGAGGUUAGUGCAAUGGCAUAAGCCCGCUUGACUGCGAGAAUGACAAUUCGAGCAGGUGCGAAAGCAGGUCAUAGUGAUCCGGUGGUUCUGUAUGGAAGGGCCAUCGCUCAACGGAUAAAAGGUACUCCGGGGAUAACAGGCUGAUACCGCCCAAGAGUUCAUAUCGACGGCGGUGUUUGGCACCUCGAUGUCGGCUCAUCACAUCCUGGGGCUGAAGUCGGUCCCAAGGGUAUGGCUGUUCGCCAUUUAAAGUGGUACGCGAGCUGGGUUUAGAACGUCGUGAGACAGUUCGGUCCCUAUCUGCCGUGGGCGUUGGAAGAUUGAAGGGGGCUGCUCCUAGUACGAGAGGACCGGAGUGGACGAACCUCUGGUGUUCGGGUUGUCAUGCCAAUGGCAUUGCCCGGUAGCUAAGUUCGGAAUCGAUAACCGCUGAAAGCAUCUAAGCGGGAAGCGAGCCCUGAGAUGAGUCUUGACUUAGAGUCUAAC
Molecule: ribosomal RNA, 2510 nt
Filed under: Vibrio coralliilyticus
Lineage: Bacteria; Pseudomonadati; Pseudomonadota; Gammaproteobacteria; Vibrionales; Vibrionaceae
Description: 23S ribosomal RNA
Rfam family: Bacterial large subunit ribosomal RNA
Source: RNAcentral